RNAcentral lists this ribosomal RNA (437 nucleotides) under uncultured Acidobacteriota bacterium. RNAcentral's name for it is "bacterial LSU rRNA". It matches the Rfam family "Bacterial large subunit ribosomal RNA", at positions 189 to 630 of the family's 2925-position model. The record is from RNAcentral. Lineage: Bacteria; Pseudomonadati; Acidobacteriota.
GGAAGUGAACCAUCUCAGUACCUGAAGGAAAAGAAAACAAUAGUGAUUCCGCUAGUAGCGGCGAGCGAACGCGGAAAAGCCUAAACCGAUUGGGCUUGCUCAAUCGGGGUCGUGGGAUCAGACAUAACGGAAGAAGAAAGUGAAUAGAAAGGUUUGGAAAAGCCUACCAAAGGGCGUGAUAGUCGCGUAUAUGAAGCAUUCAACUUUCAGUUUGACACCCGAGUAAUGCGGGACACGAGAAAUCUUGCAUGAAUUUGCCGGGACCAUCCGGUAAGGCUAAAUACUCCGAAGUGACCGAUAGUGAACCAGUACCGUGAGGGAAAGGUGAAAAGAACCCCGGUGAGGGGAGUGAAAUAGUACCUGAAACCGUGUGCUUACAAGCAGUGGGAGGUCUUCGGACUGACCGCGUGCCUUUUGCAUAAUGAGCCGGCUAGUUA